CUCUAUGGCGGACUGUGCGCGGGACAUCCCUUGGGGAUGUGCUGGGUCCUACUUUUCCCGGUUGUCCACCUGCGUACAGUUCGCCACCUUU
Pseudomonas batumici is the source of this 91-nucleotide non-coding RNA. NCBI's taxonomy places the organism in Bacteria, Pseudomonadati, Pseudomonadota, Gammaproteobacteria, Pseudomonadales, Pseudomonadaceae. The record is from Rfam.